GAGUAACACGUAUGCAAUCCACCUGUAACAGGGGGAUACCCGGGAGAAAUCCGGACUAAUACCCCAUAAUAUGGGCGCUCCGCAUGGAGGGCUCAUUAAAGAAAGCAAUUUUGGUUACAGACGAGCAUGCGCUCCAUUAGCCAGUUGGCGGGGUAACGGCCCACCAAAGCGACGAUGGAUAGGGGUUCUGAGAGGAAGGUCCCCCACAUUGGAACUGAGACACGGUCCAAACUCCUACGGGAGGCAGCAGUGAGGAAUAUUGGUCAAUGGUCGGCAGACUGAACCAGCCAAGUCGCGUGAGGGAAGACGGCCCUACGGGUUGUAAACCUCUUUUGUCGGAGAGUAAAGUGCGCUACGCGUAGCGUAUUGCAAGUAUCCGAAGAAAAAGCAUCGGCUAACUCCGUGCCAGCAGCCGCGGUAAUACGGAGGAUGCAAGCGUUAUCCGGAUUUAUUGGGUUUAAAGGGUGCGUAGGCGGCACGCCAAGUCAGCGGUGAAAUUUCCGGGCUCAACCCGGAAUGUGCCGUUGAAACUGGCGAGCUAGAGUACACAAGAGGCAGGCGGAAUGCGUGGUGUAGCGGUGAAAUGCAUAGAUACCACGCAGAACCCCGAUUGCGAAGGCAGCCUGCUAGGGUGAAACAGACGCUGAGGCACGAAAGCGUGGGUAUCGAACAGGAUUAGAUACCCUGGUAGUCCACGCAGUAAACGAUGAAUACUAACUGUUUGCGAUACAAUGUAAGCGGUACAG
RNAcentral lists this ribosomal RNA (746 nucleotides) under uncultured bacterium. RNAcentral describes it as "bacterial SSU rRNA". It matches the Rfam family "Bacterial small subunit ribosomal RNA", at positions 108 to 851 of the family's 1533-position model. The record is from RNAcentral.